Molecule: ribosomal RNA, 450 nt
Filed under: uncultured bacterium
Lineage: Bacteria
Description: partial 16S ribosomal RNA
Rfam family: Bacterial small subunit ribosomal RNA
Source: RNAcentral
GUGGGGAAUCUUCCGCAAUGGACGAAAGUCUGACGGAGCAACGCCGCGUGAGUGAAGAAGGUUUUCGGAUCGUAAAGCUCUUUCGUUAGGGACGAACGUGCUCUUUGUGAAUAAUGAGGAGUAAUGACGGUACCUAAAUAAGAAGCCACGGCUAACUACGUGCCAGCAGCCGCGGUAAUACGUAGGUGGCAAGCGUUGUCCGGAAUUAUUGGGCGUAAAGCGCGCGCAGGCGGGAUAUCAAGUCUGUCUUAAAAGUGCGAGGCUCAACCUCGUGAGGGGACAGAAACUGGUAUUCUUGAGUGCAGGAGAGGAAAGUGGAAUUCCUAGUGUAGCGGUGAAAUGCGUAGAUAUUAGGAGGAACACCAGUGGCGAAGGCGACUUUCUGGACUGUAACUGACGCUGAGGCUCGAAAGCCAGGGGAGCGAACGGGAUUAGAUACCCUUGUAGUCC